Long non-coding RNA from Musa acuminata AAA Group (dessert banana), 2505 nucleotides. RefSeq lists it as uncharacterized. The record is from RefSeq and is a predicted model, not a curated record. NCBI's taxonomy places the organism in Eukaryota, Viridiplantae, Streptophyta, Magnoliopsida, Zingiberales, Musaceae. The transcript has 3 exons.
GCGCACGAUGGACCAACGCCCGGCCUCCUCCAAACCCUAGAUGUCGCCUCCAGUGAUGGCUUUACCCAUCGGGAUCCGUAGCAACUCCUUCCAUUACGAGCCGCAGACUAUCUCCAAGAUCCCCAACCCCAGCCCUGUCGCAGGUGCCGUCUCCUAACGCCACGCUGCCGCCUCUCCCUGUUUUCCGAGUCCUAACCCUAGUAGGAUGAGAGGAAGAAAACCGAGGUAUGCGUCUUCAUAUCUAUUAGAAUGUGCGUGCAGGGAGAUUGGUUAGAACAUGAAACAGUUGUUGAAGGAAACAAGUUCUUAGUAAGACCAAUCGUCUACCACAGGAGAAGUGCAAAGAAAGAAAAGAAGAGUCAGUUGAUGAUAAAAAUAUAGAUUUCAUUUGCAAGGCAUCAUUUAUAUCAUCAAUCCUAUCUUUCACUUGGAGGGACAAUGAACUCAUCCCAGCUUCUCACUCACAAGCCCUUCAACUGAUCCAAUCAUAGCAAGCAAGCUCACGAGCAAGCAUCCAGCACUGAAGACCCUUAGAACCAUCCAUUUCUUUGUCCAACGUCCUAUCUUCUUCUGCGCAAAGUACAUCUCCACGGGGAAGUAGAUGGCCAGGGGCCAGAAGUUGAGGGAUCCUAACACUCCCAGGACCUGGUUGAAGUAGGGAAAGACCAUGGCAAGCCCUGUGGUAGUUGCGACAUAAGCUGUUCUAAAGCACAGCCUGAAUAGAUUCAAUCUGUAUGGUGGUAAGAAUGGCAACUGGAUCCUGUAGAACUCGUUGACAAAUCUGCUGUUAGGAAACUUCCCUGCAACCCAUCUGUCUGCAAAGGAGAAAACUGGCUGGCUGUAGACCUAACAUUUCAAAUCCAGAAACUUCACUGUCAGAUGUUAUCAUUAUUGCAAGCAUAGAGAGGCAAGUAGAAGGAUUCACCUGAUAGCCUCCCACUAGAUGGAGGACAAUACAAGCGUUGGCGAAAUCGAUAAGCCAGUAUGGUUCGUAGAAGCCGAACCCUGUCAAGAGGUUUCCUGGCGUGCCAUCUCCGAAGGCAGCGUAGCCGAAGCACCCGCAGCAGAGGUAGAAGAAGGUGGUGAUGAAGAUGGAGAUCAUUGAAGCUUUCUUCAUCGUCUGGUUCUCUGGUGGUGGCGACCUCAGUGUGUCCUUUGAACAUGAUGAAUUGGCUUCAGUUCUCUCAAGUUCAAAAGUGUUUGAUACAAUGGCACAAUGACUCAGCAAACAAGAACCUUAUGAUCAAGUUAGAGUUGUGUUGUCACCUCUAUUUCUAAGAGAAUCAAGGAGUAUGGGUAGGCAAAUGCUAUGUCUCCCAGUGCUUCAGAAACUCGCCAGACUUUCUGUGCCCUGGAUGUCAUGCGGAUGCCUCCGACUCCCCCCUUUAUUGUUCCAUUUCCUGUAGACCACAUCAUACAGAAAUCACAGUUAUCAGUAGACAAGGAUUAGCAUGCAUGAGGAUGAAUCACUAUGCACUGAAUCUUUUGCUUGUGAGAUGUGAUAAAAACUAUGUUUUGUUUUUUCUGCUAAUUAGGACUGGUGAAAUGCAUAGUGGCCUGUAAUUACUCAGAUAAAUGACAUGAACAAUGGAGCUCUUUUUUCUCAAUGCAUGACAUCAGAGUUCAUUCAUGUUAUGAAUAGAAAUGAAUCUUGGUUCCUUUCCCUAGUGUUUGAUAACAAAUUAGAUAGUCUUUGUUUGGUUUUAGUGACUUUUUUUCCGCCUGAAAAAUAUUAGUAUAAUGAUGGUGUAUCUGAUUGACUUACCUGAAGUUUGGGUUUGUAACCUCAUCCUAAAAUUUUUACAUUAUAUUAAUUUGUUAGUGAUAUAUCUUCUAGAUUACAUUUUGAAACAUCAUCCUAGAAAUAUCGUCAUUGAGUCAAAAUCCGUCUUGUCCAUCUGUUUUUUGCACACAAAAAAAGUAAAUAAAUAUCUGAUUUUAGUUUGGCUAUGUCUAAUCACAAUGCAAAUGUUUGAUUCUAUGAUCUAGAAUUUGUUCUCAGAGCAAAACAGAUCACUCAUGAAAUGAUCAGCUAGUGAGAUGGAAGCACACGAUACCAAUCACUUUUGCAACGCCAAGAGCAAAUCCAAUGGAGGAGUAGGCAAAGGACAUGAUAGCUGCAAGAACAGAGAGCCAUGCCAUGUCAUGGAAAUCUGGAAUCUGGGAGAACACUAUCUGAACAACCCCAAACAUCAGCAUGUAGAAGCUAUCUCCAUACGAGCACGGAGCUCUGCGUCCCUCUCUAUGGGUGGGGCGACCUGUAGCAGUCCGAGAGGAGGAAGGCGGAGACGAAGGUGACGAUGGCGAAGCAGAGCAUGGACACAGGGCCGGCGAUCCAACCCAGCUGGGCAGUGCUCCAUGCGAGGGAGAGCACGCCGGAGCCGAUGACGGCCGUUAUGAUGUGCGCGACGCAGGUCCAUAUCGUCCCUGAUCCAGUCGUCUCGCCAUGGUUGGAUCGAGGUCAGAAAACAAGGAUUUCGAUUACGGAAGCAGGUAAAAAGGAAA